Molecule: ribosomal RNA, 253 nt
Filed under: uncultured bacterium
Lineage: Bacteria
Description: partial 16S ribosomal RNA
Rfam family: Bacterial small subunit ribosomal RNA
Source: RNAcentral
UACGUAGGGGGCUAGCGUUGUCCGGAAUCAUUGGGCGUAAAGCGCGCGUAGGCGGCCCGGUAAGUCCGCUCUGAAAGUCCAGGGCUCAACCCUGGAAUGCGGGUGGAUACUGCCGGGCUCGAGUCCGGAAGAGGCGAGUGGAAUUCCUGGUGUAGCGGUGGAAUGCGUAGAUAUCAGAAGGAACAUCAGUGGCGAAGGCGGCUUUCUGGACCAAUACUGACGAUCAGGUGCGAAAGCGUGGGGAGCAAACAGG